UACAGAGGUCUCAAGCGUUGUUCGGAUUCAUUGGGCGUAAAGGGUGUGUAGGUGGCGCCGUAAGUCGGGCGUGAAAUUUCGGAGCUUAACUCCGAAACUGCAUUCGAUACUGCGGUGCUUGAGGACUGGAGAGGAGACUGGAAUUCAUGGUGUAGCAGUGAAAUGCGUAGAGAUCAUGAGGAAGACCAGUGGCGAAGGCGGGUCUCUGGACAGUUCCUGACACUGAGACACGAAGGCCAGGGGAGCAAACGGG
RNAcentral lists this ribosomal RNA (253 nucleotides) under uncultured bacterium. RNAcentral's name for it is "partial 16S ribosomal RNA". It matches the Rfam family "Bacterial small subunit ribosomal RNA", at positions 524 to 776 of the family's 1533-position model. The record is from RNAcentral.